This 599-nucleotide ribosomal RNA is filed under the name uncultured bacterium. RNAcentral describes it as "bacterial SSU rRNA". It matches the Rfam family "Bacterial small subunit ribosomal RNA", at positions 798 to 1397 of the family's 1533-position model. The record is from RNAcentral.
CGCCCUAAACGAUGAAUACUAGAUGUUUGGUACCAAGCGUACUGAGUGUCGUAGCUAACGCGAUAAGUAUUCCGCCUGGGAAGUACGGCCGCAAGGUUAAACUUCAAAGGAAUUGACGGGGGCCCGCACAAGCGGUGGAGCAUGUGGUUUAAUUCGAUGCAACGCGAAGAACCUUACCUGGGCUUGACAUGUCUGGAAUCCUGCAGAGAUGCGGGAGUGCCCUUCGGGGAAUCAGAACACAGGUGCUGCAUGGCUGUCGUCAGCUCGUGUCGUGAGAUGUUGGGUUAAGUCCCGCAACGAGCGCAACCCUUGUCCUUAGUUGCCAGCGGUUCGGCCGGGCACUCUAGGGAGACUGCCGGUGACAAACCGGAGGAAGGUGGGGAUGACGUCAAGUCCUCAUGGCCUUUAUGUCCAGGGCUACACACGUGCUACAAUGGCGCGUACAGAGGGAAGCCAAGCCGCGAGGUGGAGCAGACCCCAGAAAGCGCGUCGUAGUUCGGAUUGCAGUCUGCAACUCGACUGCAUGAAGUCGGAAUCGCUAGUAAUCGCGGAUCAGCAUGCCGCGGUGAUACGUUCCCGGGCUUGUACACACCGCCCGU